UUCGCAAUGCCCGAAAGGGUGACGAAGCGACGCCGCGUGUGGGAAGAAGGCCUUCGGGUUGUAAACCGCUGUUGGGAGUUAGGAAGUGUGGGAGUGUUAAUAGCGCUUCCACUUGACUAAAGCUCCAGAGGAAGCCACGGCUAACUCUGUGCCAGCAGCCGCGGUAAUACAGGGGCGGCAAGCGUUGUUCGGAAUUAUUGGGCGUAAAGAGCACGUAGGCGGCUCUGCAAGUCAGCUGUGAAAGCCUUCUGCUUAACGGAAGAACAGCAGUUGAAACUACAGGGCUUGAGUGCGGGAGGGGAGAGUGGAACUUCUGGUGGAGCGGUGAAAUGCGUAGAUAUCAGAAGGAACGCCGGCGGCGAAAGCGGCUCUCUGGUCCGUAACUGACGCUGAGUGUGCGAAAGCUAGGGGAGCAAACGGGAUUAGAUACCCCGGUAGUCCUAGCCGUAAACGAUGGGCACUAAGUAGAGGGGUUUU
Molecule: ribosomal RNA, 477 nt
Filed under: uncultured Planctomycetales bacterium
Lineage: Bacteria; Pseudomonadati; Planctomycetota; Planctomycetia; Planctomycetales
Description: bacterial SSU rRNA
Rfam family: Bacterial small subunit ribosomal RNA
Source: RNAcentral